AUUGUGCCAGCAGCCGCGGUAAUACGAGGGCUCCAAGCGUUAUCCGGAUUUAUUGGGCGUAAAGGGUGCGUAGGAUGAUAGGUAAGUUCAAUGUUAAAUCUCGGGGCUCAACUUCGAGGCCGCAUUGAAUACUGCCAAUCUAGAGUGUGGGAGAGGUUGAUGGAACUCACGGUGUAGGGGUGAAAUCCGUUGAUAUCGUGGGGAACACCAAAGGCGAAGGCAUUCAACUGGCCCGCUACUGACUCUGAUGCACGAAAGCGUGGGGAGCAAAAAGGAUUAGAUACCCUUGUAGUCCACGCCCUAAACGAUGUCUACUGGCUAUUUCGAGUAUCGACCCUCGGAGUGGCGAAGCUAACGCGUUAAGUAGACCGCCUGGGAAGUACGGCCGCAAGGCUAAAACUCAAAGGAAUAGACGGGGACUCGCACAAGCGGUGGAGCAUGAGGUUCAAUUCGACAAUAAGCGAGGAACCUUACCAGGGCUUGAAAUCCAGACGAAAGCUUGCCGAAAGGCGAGCCUUCUCUCAAGGACGGCUGGACAGGUGCUGCAUGGUUGUCGUCAGCUCGUGUUUUGAAAUGUUCCCUUAAGUGGGGUAACGAGCGCAACCCUUACCUGAUGUUAUAUGUGUCAUCGGGAACUGCCCUCAUUUUGGGGGAGGAAGGAGAGGAUGACGUCAAAUCAGCAUGGCCCUCUGAUGCCCUGGGCUACACUCGUGCUACAAUGGUUGGUACAAAGGGUUGCCAAGUCGCAAGACGGAGCUAAUCCCUUAAAACCGACCCCAGUUCAGAUUGGAGGCUGAAACUCGC
This 804-nucleotide ribosomal RNA is filed under the name uncultured bacterium. RNAcentral's name for it is "bacterial SSU rRNA". It matches the Rfam family "Bacterial small subunit ribosomal RNA", at positions 502 to 1315 of the family's 1533-position model. The record is from RNAcentral.